This 219-nucleotide ribosomal RNA is filed under the name Triticum aestivum (bread wheat). Its description in RNAcentral is "partial small subunit ribosomal RNA". Lineage: Eukaryota; Viridiplantae; Streptophyta; Magnoliopsida; Poales; Poaceae. The record is from RNAcentral.
AUGCCUCGUGCCUCCGUUGGCGUUGCCCCUGCAUUGAGCAUCGCCCGCUCCGUAUCGUACCAAGCUACUCACAUCUGUAUGGUGUUACAAGUUGCCAAGGAUCAGAUCUGGAGGCUACAAGACUUAAACCGGUCUAUAUCACAGUCAACUAUGGAGAAUCUCAAGCCAACUCCUCAAGUCGCCUUGAGACUCGGGGGCUAUGAUGACAUGGCUCAGUAA